CACGCGUGCUACACUGAUGCACUCAAUGAGUUCCUGGACNGAAAGGUGCGUGGNUAUNUUGAAUAUGGAUCGUGAUUGGGAUAGAUCAUUGUAAUUAUGGUUCUUGAACGAGGAAUUCCUAGUAANCGUAAGUCAUCAGCUUGCGCUGAUGA
Molecule: ribosomal RNA, 152 nt
Filed under: uncultured eukaryote
Lineage: Eukaryota
Description: partial 18S rRNA
Rfam family: Eukaryotic small subunit ribosomal RNA
Source: RNAcentral